GACGAACGCUGGCGGCGUGCUUAACACAUGCAAGUCGAACGGAGUUACGUAUGAAGUAUUUCGGUACGGACUAUGUAACUUAGUGGCGAACGGGUGAGUAACACGUGGGCAACCUGCCCUUAACCGGGGGAUAACAUUGUGAAAACAGUGCUAAUACCGCAUAACAGAGUAUCGGGCAUCCGAUAUUUUUAAAAGGAGCAAUCCGGUUUAGGAUGGGCCCGCGUCCAAUUAGCUAGUUGGUGAGGUAACGGCUCACCAAGGCUACGAUUGGUAGCCGAACUGAGAGGUUGAUCGGCCACAUUGGGACUGAGACACGGCCCAGACUCCUACGGGAGGCAGCAGUGGGGAAUAUUGGGCAAUGGGCGAAAGCCUGACCCAGCGACGCCGCGUGAAGGAUGAAGGUCUUCGGAUUGUAAACUUCUUUGAUCAGGGAAGAAAGAAAUGACGGUACCUGAAGAACAAGCCACGGCUAACUACGUGCCAGCAGCCGGGUAAACACGAGAGUA
Molecule: ribosomal RNA, 506 nt
Filed under: uncultured bacterium
Lineage: Bacteria
Description: bacterial SSU rRNA
Rfam family: Bacterial small subunit ribosomal RNA
Source: RNAcentral